CUGGGGUUGGAUAUUGCUUAUUUUGGGGGGCUGUCCUGUGCAUUGCAGGAUGUUUAGCAGCAUCCCUGGCCUCUACUCAAUGCCAGUAGCUCCCUCCUCCCCAGUUGUAAAACCAAAAAUGCCUCCAGACAUUGACAAGUGUCCCCUGGAGGGCAAAAUCACCCCUGUUAGGGAACCACUGGUCUAGGAAAUAAGGCAUGUAACUAUAGGCCCCAAGCUGAAGUGGCAUUUCCCACAUGAUUUCCACACCCAGGGAUGGAGUGGGCAGCACUGAGAUGGAGAACUACAGGGCUUACAAAUUGGAGUGCCUUUGAAGGUCUUCUGACUCAGUGGUUUUUAAAAACCGAGUCAGUAAACCAAUAAAAGCUGAAUGCUUUAGGGGAGGUUUGGGGAUAUCUUCCCCUCCUGUUUCCUUCUCCCAGCCUCCCUUUUGCCCAUUGCUUCAGAAACUCAGGGCUCCAACAAACAGGGAUUGAAAACCAUGAACAACGCCUUCAGAUGAGGAGAACAAGGCCACGGAGAGGUCAGUCCAACAGCAAAUCCAGAGAGAGCCAGGAAUCAAGCAGAAAAAUGGCCUGGAAUGAUCACUUUACAGCCACCCUGGGAAUGAGGAGGAUGAUAGGACACUGGAGACUGCCACCAUCUUGAACUCACUGCCUUCCUUCCUGUGGGCUCUGCAUUUUCCUUCCUUCAAAUGGCAUCUUGGGAGCAUCUUCCCCCCUCACCUGAUGAUAGAUGGCUUCUGCAAAGUGUUUUGUUGCUUUAUAUAGGGAAGAGGGUGCCUGGAAAUACAUUCUAUUGGAUAAUAAAGACUGUAUUUCCCUGAUUUAUUGUCCAGCUACGCAGGGUUGUCUGAGAGGCAAGGAACCAAU
RNAcentral lists this long non-coding RNA (872 nucleotides) under Pongo abelii (Sumatran orangutan). RNAcentral describes it as "lncRNA (ENSPPYG00000031842.1)". The record is from RNAcentral. Lineage: Eukaryota; Metazoa; Chordata; Mammalia; Primates; Hominidae.